RNAcentral lists this ribosomal RNA (421 nucleotides) under uncultured Halococcus sp. RNAcentral describes it as "bacterial SSU rRNA". It matches the Rfam family "Archaeal small subunit ribosomal RNA", at positions 459 to 879 of the family's 1478-position model. The record is from RNAcentral. Lineage: Archaea; Methanobacteriati; Methanobacteriota; Halobacteria; Halobacteriales; Halococcaceae.
CAGCCGCCGCGGUAAUACCGGCAGCACGAGUGAUAGCCACUAUUAUUGGGCCUAAAGCGUCCGUAGCCGGCUACACAGGUCCGUCGGGAAAUCCACCCGCUCAACGGGUGGGCGUCCGGCGAAAACCAGGUAGCUUGGGGCCGGAAGACCAGAGGGGUACGUCCGGGGUAGGAGUGAAAUCCCGUAAUCCCGGACGGACCAUCGGUGGCGAAAGCGCCUCAGGAGAGCGGAUCCGACGGUGAGGGACGAAAGCUAGGGUCUCGAACCGGAUUAGAUACCCGGGUAGUCCUAGCCGUAAACGAUGCUCGCUAGGUGUGGCGCUGGCUACGAGCCAGCGCUGUGCCGUAGGGAAGCCGUGAAGCGAGCCGCCUGGGAAGUACGUCCGCAAGGAUGAAACUUAAAGGAAUUGGCGGGGGAGCAC